Molecule: ribosomal RNA, 465 nt
Filed under: uncultured bacterium
Lineage: Bacteria
Description: bacterial SSU rRNA
Rfam family: Bacterial small subunit ribosomal RNA
Source: RNAcentral
CCUACGGGUUGCACCAGUAGGGAAUCUUCCACAAUGGGCGCAAGCCUGAUGGAGCAACGCCGCGUGUGUGAUGAAGGCUUUCGGGUCGUAAAGCACUGUUGUAUGGGAAGAAUAGUUAAUGUAGGAAAUGAUGUUAAUGUGACGGUACCAUACCAGAAAGGGACGGCUAAAUACGUGCCUGCAGCCGCGGUAAUACGUAUGUCCCGAGCGUUAUCCGGAUUUAUUGGGCGUAAAGCGAGCGCAGACGGUUCGUUAAGUCUGAAGUGAAAGCCCUCAGCUCAACUGUGGAAUGGCUUUGGAAACUGGCGAACUUGAGUGCAGUAGAGGCAAGUGGAACUCCAUGUGUAGCGGUGGAAUGCGUAGAUAUAUGGAAGAACACCAGUGGCGAAGGCGGCUUGCUGGACUGUAACUGACGUUGAGGCUCGAAAGUGUGGGUAGCAGACAGGAUUAGAUACCCCAGUAGUC